This 535-nucleotide ribosomal RNA is filed under the name uncultured bacterium. RNAcentral's name for it is "bacterial SSU rRNA". It matches the Rfam family "Bacterial small subunit ribosomal RNA", at positions 8 to 526 of the family's 1533-position model. The record is from RNAcentral.
AGAGUUUGAUCAUGGCUCAGAGCGAACGUUAGCGGCAGGCUUAACACAUGCAAGUCGAACGAGAAAGUUCCCUUCGGGAGCAAGUAAAGUGGCGCACGGGUGCGUAACACGUGGGUAAUCUGCCCUCUAGCACGGGACAACGGUCCGAAAGGACCGCUAAUACCGUAUAAUCUGUUGACGGCUUCGGCUGUUACCAGGAAAGCGGCUCGCAAGAGGUCGCUGGAGGAUGAGCCCGCGUCCCAUCAGCUAGUUGGUGAGGUAAUGGCUCACCAAGGCUAAGACGGGUAGCUGGUCUGAGAGGAUGAUCAGCCACACUGGAACUGAGACACGGUCCAGACUCCUACGGGAGGCAGCAGUGGGGAAUAUUGGACAAUGGGCGCAAGCCUGAUCCAGCCAUGCCGCGUGUGUGAUGAAGGCCUUCGGGUCGUAAAGCACUGUGGAGGGGGGCAAACAAGCGAAGGAAUAAUACCCUUCGCCCUGAUGGUACCCCUUUAGCAAGCACCGGCUAACUCCGUGCCAGCAGCCGCGGUAAUAC